UUAUUGUAACUCAUUUAUACUUAAAAAUAAACUACACCUUGAUUUGAUAUUAAUUUUAUUAUAAAAUAUAGAAAAUUAUUAUUCUUAUAAAAUAUUCUAAUAACAACGAUAUAUAAAUUGAAAAACAAUUUUAAGUGAGGUACAUCGGGGAUUAUCGAUUACAAAACAAGUUCCUCUGAAUAGACUAAAAUACCGCCAAAUUUUUUAAGUUUCAAGAACAUAACUAAUACUACUCAAAUAAUUUUUUAUUGAUAUUUUAAAUAAUAGGGUAUCUAAUCCUAGUU
RNAcentral lists this ribosomal RNA (284 nucleotides) under Chalcosyrphus elongatus. RNAcentral's name for it is "partial 12S ribosomal RNA". The record is from RNAcentral. Lineage: Eukaryota; Metazoa; Arthropoda; Insecta; Diptera; Syrphidae.